RNAcentral lists this small nucleolar RNA (91 nucleotides) under Setaria italica (foxtail millet). Its description in RNAcentral is "snoRNA snoR44_J54". It matches the Rfam family "Small nucleolar RNA R44/J54/Z268 family". Rfam says of the family: R44, J54 and Z268 are members of the C/D class of snoRNA which contain the C (UGAUGA) and D (CUGA) box motifs. Most of the members of the box C/D family function in directing site-specific 2'-O-methylation of substrate RNAs. RNAcentral also lists the same sequence under 1 other name. The record is from Rfam by way of RNAcentral. Lineage: Eukaryota; Viridiplantae; Streptophyta; Magnoliopsida; Poales; Poaceae.
GGAGCAGGUGACGAGAACAAGACAGGGACAUCAGAACCCUCUGUUGGGCAUGAUAGACUCAAGUCUUCAAUGGGAAUCUCUCUGAUGCUUU